This 196-nucleotide ribosomal RNA is filed under the name uncultured bacterium. RNAcentral describes it as "partial 16S ribosomal RNA". It matches the Rfam family "Bacterial small subunit ribosomal RNA", at positions 326 to 539 of the family's 1533-position model. The record is from RNAcentral.
ACGCUCGACACCUACGGGGCAGCAGUGGGGAAUAUUGCACAAUGGGGGAAACCCUGGAUGCAACGACGCCGCGUGAGGAAGAAGUAUCUCGGUAUGUAAACUUCUAUCAGCAGGGAAGAAAGUGACGGUACCUGACUAAGAAGCCCCGGCUAACUACGUGCCAACAGCCGCGGUAAUCUGAGCGGGCUGGCAAGGC